GACGAACGCUGGCGGCGUGCCUAACACAUGCAAGUCGAACGGGGUGAAUUUCUUCGGAGGUUCACUUAGUGGCGAACGGGUGAGUAACGCGUGAGAAACCUGCCUUCCGGUGGGGGACAACAGUUGGAAACGACUGCUAAUACCGCAUAACACUUCUGAGGGGCAUCCUUUGGAAGUCAAAGCUUUAUGUGCCGGAAGAUGGUCUCGCGUCUGAUUAGCUAGAUGGCGGGGUAACGGCCCACCAUGGCGACGAUCAGUAGCCGGUCUGAGAGGAUGAACGGCCACAUUGGGACUGAGAUACGGCCCAG
RNAcentral lists this ribosomal RNA (308 nucleotides) under uncultured bacterium. RNAcentral describes it as "bacterial SSU rRNA". It matches the Rfam family "Bacterial small subunit ribosomal RNA", at positions 28 to 334 of the family's 1533-position model. The record is from RNAcentral.